Molecule: unclassified non-coding RNA, 240 nt
Filed under: soil metagenome
Description: partial contains 5.8S ribosomal RNA, internal transcribed spacer 2, and large subunit ribosomal RNA
Source: RNAcentral
AACUGAUACUACCUGCGGGAACCUGCGGAAGGAUCAUUACCGAGUUAGGGUCUCUCAGGCCCGACCUCCCACCCUGUGUUUUUAUGACCUUGUUGCUUUGGCGGGCCCGCCUCGACGAGAGGCUGCCGGAAGCUCACCGCUUUGGGCCCGUGCCCGCCAGUAGCCCCUUAAAUUCUUAACAAUCCUGUCGUCUGAGUCUAUGGAUAAUGAAACAAAACUUUCAACAAUGGAUCUCUAGAU